UAAAUAUAUCGGAUGAAUUCAUGCUAACAAAAUAGGACUACAUCCAUAAGUCAAAUGACUAAGCUAUUUGAAAUAUGGGUAACCUAUCCAUACCUAAAAGUACCAUGUAUGAACACAUGAUCAUCCAAUGGUAGGUUUGAAGUAUGGAAGGUUUUAACCAAACCUAAUCCAAACAUAUCAUGACUUAAAUGGUUUUCAUUAGUCCUUAUGUUCAAGACCUCAAAAGUUCAUCAAAAAUAAUC
This 242-nucleotide long non-coding RNA is filed under the name Lathyrus oleraceus (garden pea). Its description in RNAcentral is "Pisum sativum (pea) long non-coding RNA (PSAT_LNC022679)". Lineage: Eukaryota; Viridiplantae; Streptophyta; Magnoliopsida; Fabales; Fabaceae. The record is from RNAcentral.